Molecule: long non-coding RNA, 815 nt
Organism: Alnus glutinosa
Lineage: Eukaryota; Viridiplantae; Streptophyta; Magnoliopsida; Fagales; Betulaceae
Exons: 2
Source: RefSeq, a predicted model, not a curated record
UUUCAGCCCCUCUCUCUCUCUCUCUCUCUCUCUCUCUAGCUGGCCGACGAGAUAUGUUUGUUGCACUUCAAGUGUACAUCAGUUGUACACCAAAUCUGACGUGGACCACUAUUUUUUUUUUUAAAAAAAUACCACUAAAUCGCUGAAGGGCCCUUCCAGCCUAUGUUUGACUCUCUCUCUCUCUCUCUCUCUCUCUCUCUCUCCCCCCUGCAUCUGGCUUUUUUCCCCCAUUUUUCGGCGUGCUCUCCCUUUCUCCGGCGAUUCUUCUCGUUUUCCGGCGUGCUAGCUCUUCUCCGGCGUAAAAGGUACUCUCCGGCGUCCGGAUCGGUGAGUCCGAGCCCCAUGGGCUUCGGGUUUGGGUUAUCUUUGAGUUUUUCGCUUGAAUCGAUGAGUUCCAUUGUCCGAGUCUCCGCUCCGAGUUUUUCUGGAUUUUGAAUGUCAUGCAGGUUAUGCUUUGGAAGACUGCUUUGUGACUUUUUGUUGUUGAGUGUGAUGCAGAAGAACAUGUUGUAGCAGCAGAGAAUUAUGGAGGUCAAGAUAAAAUGCCUUAUGAAUUUGAAUUGAAAAUACAAAUAUAAUGGAAUCUCUGGAAUAUAAUGGAAUGUAGAUGAUGUACUUGAAUUUGUAACUUGUAGUUUCUAUUUUGAACUCUUUACUUUGUUUCCAUAGUUUACAAUUGUUUUUUUUUUUUUUUUUUUGAACAAGCAUUUCAAACAUUCAUUCUCUGAUGUUUAUGUUGAGGAAUGGUUGAAUGGUACUUGGCUACUUGGUUCUUGGAGAAAUAUAUGGAAUGGUCGAAUGUUUAGGUUCUACUA